Long non-coding RNA from Salvelinus sp. IW2-2015, 986 nucleotides. RefSeq lists it as uncharacterized. The record is from RefSeq and is a predicted model, not a curated record. Lineage: Eukaryota; Metazoa; Chordata; Actinopteri; Salmoniformes; Salmonidae.
AUCUUUCAGCCAUGACCGCCCUGAAAAGCUAAAGCCAAAAGAACACAGCAGUGAGGAGGCAAACGGUGAGACAGCGAUGAGUCUUAUAUUUAACCCCGCUACACCUAUCCAUCAACGGAGAGACUUGUUCCACUGUCUCCUACCCACACAGUGUCCAGUCCUUACUGAGCUGACGAUGAGUCCAUCAUACCCAUCCCUACAGGACCACUUCCUCCUGGGCUUCCAGAAAAGACAUAAACCCAUCAUAUCCUAUUACAGCGCUAUACAUUUCCCUUCCCCUGCUACUCUUUCAAUUAACGAAGUAUAUGAACGCGGAUGUGGAGUCGUAUUCACUUCUAUGCAAUAGGCUAAAGAAAAGCUCCACUUGAAGGCCAUUGGAUUUGACAGGCUCCCUGUCUCGAACCUGGACAUUAUUUUCUCUUCACUAUGUACCGAGGUAGGAAGUUUGAGAGGCCCAGGAUCUCAUUUCUAAUAGGAAGUGAACAGCUUAAGAGAUGACCAAGCUGAGGCUGCCAUCAGUGUCUCCCUAGCUGCCUACCUGCCAGAGACAGAGUGUAGCUGUGUAGCUCUCCGUUUACUCCUCGACUCACUAAUUAAUGGUUGCCCGUGGAGUAACUUGUACCUGUCAGUGUCUACCGCUCUCGUAUAUUCAAUAACUUGGGGGAAUUGAAAUUGAAUGCCAGCUAAGCUCGAACAAACUGCAAAUGGUGCAUGGGAUACACCCUGGUUCUCUCAGUGACCUGACAGCAGCGUUAUAUGUAAGGUUUUUAAUGAACAUGGACUCUUCUCAGCUACUUUUGACUGCCAAGGUGGAAGGUUUUAUGAAUUCAAGAUGGAGGGUGGGUGGGUGAUUGUAUAGGUUCUGUUACAGUAUACAGGUACUCGAGCAAGUCCUUGUGCCAAAUGUCAAUGUGCGUAUGAAUGCCAAAGCCGUCCAUAAAAGAACCCAGUGCCGAUUCGCAUUAAAGAGACAUGGUGAAAAUGUU